Molecule: long non-coding RNA, 203 nt
Filed under: Elaeis guineensis (African oil palm)
Lineage: Eukaryota; Viridiplantae; Streptophyta; Magnoliopsida; Arecales; Arecaceae
Description: long non-coding RNA (EGUI_LNC011777)
Source: RNAcentral
UAGAAGUUUUUCAAUUUUAAAUCAUUAACAUUACAAAUCUCAUACACUAAAAUAUAAAUGUUGCAAAUCUCUCGCAAUAUUUGUCUUUAGAUAAUUCUUCAAAUGAAAAAGAAUACAAUAAAAAAAGAACUCUAGUGACAAUGAGAGAGACUUGAACUUCGAUAGGAUGAACUCCGAUGAAGGGAAGAAAGAGAAUAGGGCUG